This 254-nucleotide ribosomal RNA is filed under the name uncultured bacterium. RNAcentral describes it as "partial 16S ribosomal RNA". It matches the Rfam family "Bacterial small subunit ribosomal RNA", at positions 524 to 776 of the family's 1533-position model. The record is from RNAcentral.
UACGGGGGGAGCAAGCGUUGUUCGGAUUUACGGGGCGUAAAGGGCGCGUAGGCGGCCAGCGCAAGUCGGUUGUGAAAUCUCCGGGCUUAACUCGGAACGGUCAACUGAUACUGCGCGGCUAGAGUGCAGAAGGGGCAACUGGAAUUCUCGGUGUAGCGGUGAAAUGCGUAGAUAUCGAGAGGAACACCUGCGGCGAAGGCGGGUUGCUGGGCUGACACUGACGCUGAUGCGCGAAAGCCAGGGGAGCGAACGGG